UUUUGAUUGGUGCCACGCUUUUGACGAGGUCAUUUACACGCGGCAUUUCCCUGACUCUGGAGACGGGAUCGUUCGGAGCACAAAGCGUGGAACUGAAACGGCCCUUUUUGUGCAGCAGGAGCCCAAAUGUCGCAUCACUUUCCUGAAACAGGCCGAAAAUCAGCAGGUAAACAUCUGCACGAUGCCUCCGAACAACCGGCCGAGUGCAAAGAAAAAAAGACGAUGAGGAACAAAGUCUUUCCCCGGUCAGCUUCCAGGAUUGUUGGACGCCUCCGCCUCAGUUAGGAAGCGGCGAAAUAUCAUCAGAUUAGGUCUGCUGAAGCUGCGAGGAGAAAUGAAAAGUGUCUCUCCACCUCUGGGGAACUUUGGACUCCAUGAUGUUGGGGUGCGGUCGGGGCUAAAAGGUCAACUCCUCGUUUCUCCCGCCGACGCAUUGUUCUUCCGCGAGAGGUGACGGCGUCUGUCAAUCAGGACCUUUGCGGAGGGACAAAGGCCAUUCAGAGGCCGCCAUGAGAAAUGUCAAGGAUGCUGAGAUAAAAAA
This is a non-coding RNA of Poecilia reticulata (guppy), 541 nucleotides long. The record is from RefSeq and is a predicted model, not a curated record. Lineage: Eukaryota; Metazoa; Chordata; Actinopteri; Cyprinodontiformes; Poeciliidae.